Molecule: long non-coding RNA, 593 nt
Organism: Heterocephalus glaber (naked mole-rat)
Lineage: Eukaryota; Metazoa; Chordata; Mammalia; Rodentia; Bathyergidae
Source: RefSeq, a predicted model, not a curated record
UAGGUGUUCAACAACUGAGGUUUGGAAAGCAAAUCUAAAAAUGAUCACUAGACUAAGAAGACUGCCAAUGAUUUGGAUGUGGAUCUUCAUGGUCAACCAGGACCUAAGAAUGAGGGGACCUUUUCUAUAAGAUUCUACAACUGUGAAUGUUAACAUACAGGAACCAAAUUUCAAUCUAAGGCUUGAGGCUUUACAGUGCCAGGUGACUUUCCCAAGGUGACCCUUGUGAUGAGAUGAAGGCUUCAGCUCUAAUAUUUGUCCUCAUUCCAGCAGUAGGAAGGACAUGUCCAGAAGAUUUACACUUGUUUUUGUUAACAUUGCAUUGACCAGGGCUCAGACCUGCUUCUGUAUUGCUAGGAGAUAUGGUGAGCAAUGUACCUUCAGUUCUGGGACACUGUGCUCUGCCUAUGUAUUAUGGGGAAACCUAUGAAUUUGUAAGAAGGGAAAACAUCUUGAGAGAAAAGUAGCCAUUUUGCCACCCACAGGAUUCUUCUGACUUUCACUUCUUUGAAACAAUCUGGUUUUUCCCAGUGUUAAAUAUAGAAGGGCUGAAGGGAGGGCAGGGGAAUGGGGAAAAAAAAAUAAGAACCAAG